This 497-nucleotide ribosomal RNA is filed under the name uncultured bacterium. RNAcentral describes it as "partial 16S ribosomal RNA". It matches the Rfam family "Bacterial small subunit ribosomal RNA", at positions 28 to 507 of the family's 1533-position model. The record is from RNAcentral.
GAUGAACGCUGGCGGCGUGCCUAAUACAUGCAAGUAGAACGCUGAAGGAAGGAGCUUGCUCUUUCCGGAUGAGUUGCGAACGGGUGAGUAACGCGUAGGUAACCUGCCUGGUAGCGGGGGAUAACUAUUGGAAACGAUAGCUAAUACCGCAUAACAGUAGAUGUUGCAUGAUAUCUACUUAAAAGGUGCAAUUGCACCACUACCAGAUGGACCUGCGUUGUAUUAGCUAGUUGGUGAGGUAACGGCUCACCAAGGCGACGAUACAUAGCCGACCUGGGAGGGUGAUCGGCCCACAUGGGACUGGGACACGGCCCAAACUCCUAAGGGGGGCAGCAGUAGGGAAUCUUCGGAAAUGGACGGAAGUCUGGCCGAGAAACGCCGCGGGAGUGAAGAAGGGUGUCGGAUCGUAAAGCUCGGUUGUAAGAGAAGAACGAGUGUGAGAGUGGAAAGUUCACACUGUGACGGUAGCUUAACAGAAAGGGACGGCUAACUACGUG